Oncorhynchus keta (chum salmon) is the source of this 1001-nucleotide long non-coding RNA. RefSeq lists it as uncharacterized. The record is from RefSeq and is a predicted model, not a curated record. The transcript has 3 exons. NCBI's taxonomy places the organism in Eukaryota, Metazoa, Chordata, Actinopteri, Salmoniformes, Salmonidae.
UUCAAUAGCAGGAACAAUAGCAUAUCUGGACUGUUGAAUUUACUCUUAUGGGAUGACAUUAUACUUGUAGGUUCAUAUUGGGUAAUUGUGUCUAGAUCAUAUUUUUUUUAUGUUUUAAUGAUAAAAAAAAAACAUUUCAGUUUCUUUGUAGAAAUACACAUUUUCUGCAGCAAAUGUAGUGCAUCUGGGUCGUUGGUGAGAAGUGUGAUAUGUGGGUCGUAUAUGAGACGUGUUAUACGGGUUUAUCAUCUGGGUCGUUGGUGAGAGGUGUGAUAUGUGGGUCGUAUAUGAGAAGUGUUAUACGGGUUUAUCAUCUGGGUCGUGGGUGAGAGGUGUGAUAUGUGGGUCGUAUAUGAGAAGUGUUAUACGGGUUUAUCAUCUGGGUCGUAUAUGAGAAGUGUUAUACGGGUUUAUCAUCUGGGUCAUUGGUGAGAGGUGUGAUAUGUGGGUCGUAUAUGAGAAGUGUUAUACGGGUUUAUCAUCUGGGUCGUUGGUGAGAGGUGUGAUAUGUGGGUCGUAUAUGAGAAGUGUUAUACGGGUUUAUCAUCUGGGUCGUUGGUGAGAGGUGUGAUAUGUGGGUCGUAUAUGAGAAGUGUGAUAUGGUUUAUCAUCUGGGUCGUUGGUGAGAGGUGUGAUAUGUGGGUCGUAUAUGAGAAGUGUUAUACGGGUUAUCAUCUGGGUCGUUGGUGAGAGGUGUGAUAUGGUUUAUCAUCUGGGUCGUGUGUGAGAGGUGUGAUAUGUGGGUCGUAUAUGAGAAGUGUUAUAUGGUUUAUCAUCUGGGUCGUUGGUGAGAGGUGUAAUAUGUGGGUCGUAUAUGAGAGGUGUGAUAUGGUUUAUCAUCUGGGUCGUUGGUGAGAGGUGUGAUAUGGUUUAUCAUCUGGGUCGUUGGUGAGAGGUGUGAUAUGUGGGUCGUAUAUGAGAAGUGUUAUACGGGUUUAUCAUCUGGGUCGUUGGUGACAGGUGUAAUAUGUGGGUCGUAUAUGAGAAGUGUUAUACGGGUU